Molecule: unclassified non-coding RNA, 3404 nt
Filed under: Hevea brasiliensis (rubber tree)
Lineage: Eukaryota; Viridiplantae; Streptophyta; Magnoliopsida; Malpighiales; Euphorbiaceae
Source: RNAcentral
GUCAAAAUGCAAUUCAAAUUUCUCCCACUCAACCCUCCGCAUUCUCUUUCAUUUUCUACAAACUUAUAAACCCUAAAACCUCACUCUCUUGUUUACUCCUUUGCCUCUCUUUCUCUCUGGAAGCUCAAAGGCCAUGUUCUCUCCAGGAAUCAAGAGGACGCAUCUCAGCUCUCGAAGGGAUCGUAAUCUAGGCCACAAAGCACCAGAUUCUCCGAUCACACCGCUACCGGAGAGCCGUAAAUCUCUUCACGAUAAUUCAAUCCCUAACCGGCCUAGCACCGGUACUCCUGCUCCUUGGGCUCCUCGACUUUCCGUUCUUGCCCGAAUCCCGCCAGCAAACAAAAGUGAAAAAGGGAAUGAGGCAGAUCCAAUUAAGCCUGUAUAUGUUGGAGAGUUCCCCCAAGUAGCUCGUAGUGAACAAGCCAGCAUUCUGCAGAAGUAUACUCCUGGCGAUGCAUGUAUAUCUGGUGGAAUGGAUAAGGAAACAUGCCUUUCUUGGAUUAUCUGUGGAAACAGACUCUUUAUAUGGAGUUACUUAUCAUCUGGUGCUUCAAAAGAUUGCGUUAUUCUUGAACUUCCUUCAAAUGUUUCAGAUGAUAGAGAUAAUGGGAAAAGUCCAUAUCAUGGUAGCAAUUGGAUGCUUUGUGUUGUCAACAGGGAUAAAUCCAUUGGUGGAAGAAAUAAAGCUGUACAGAGUUGCUAUUCUACUGGUAUUGUAAUGUGUAACCUAAAAACUCAAGUUGUCAUCUACUGGCCUGACAUCUAUUCUAAAGAGGGAUCUAUUCCUGUUACCAGUCUAUUUUCUGCUGAUGAAUUGGAGGCGACUUCUUCCUCUGUUGAUGGGAAGACCACCCCAAAUGGGCAGCAACAACAUAACAGGCCUGGAAGUAGUUCAGUUGGAUUGAAUUCUUUUAACUCUAUGAUUGCUUCUGCAGUGCCUGCUGUCCACAACGAGUGUGUUGCUUUCGUUUGUAGUUCCAAUGGUGAGCUGUGGCAAUUUUAUUGCAGACCCACUGGCAUUCAACGUAGUAAAGUAUAUCAGGACAUAGUAAGUUCAUCCUUCAAAGGAAAUGAUAAUGGUCAAUUUGUUGGGAGCAAGGGUUAUCCAAGGUCACUCAUCUGGCAUUUUCCACUCCAUUCCAUGGAUGUUUCUAGGAGGCAGUUUCUUCUACUGACUGAUCACGAGAUACAAUGCUUUGAUAUUGCAUUUCGUCCUGAUUUAAAUGUGUCAAAGAUCUGGUCUCAUGAAAUUGUUGGUACUGAUGGAGAUUCGGGCAUUAAGAAGGAUUUGGCUGGUCAGAAACGCAUCUGGCCGUUGGAUCUGCAGGUGGACAAUCAUGGUAAAGUGAUCACAGUUCUUGUUGCCACAUUUUGUAAGGAUAGGGUAAGUGGUUCAAGCUAUACACAGUAUUCUCUACUGACCAUGCAAUAUAAGUCUAGAGUAAACAUAUCCUCUGAUAUGCAUGAAAGAGUAUUGGAGAAAAAAAGCUCCAAUCCAAGUGAUAAUCCCAAAGGCAAGACUAGAAGAUGAGGAUUUCUUAUUCUCCAUGAGACUUAGGGUCGGGGGCAGGCCAUCAGGCUCAGCAAUCAUACUUUCUGGUGAUGGAACAGCAACAGUAUCCCAUUAUUAUAGGAAUUCAACCCGCCUCUAUCAGUUUGACCUACCUUACGAUGCUGGAAAAGUUCUGGAUGCUUCAAUUCUUCCUUCUGCUGAGGAUGGUGAAGAUGGUGCAUGGGUUGUGUUAACAGAGAAGGCAGGAAUAUGGGCAAUACCAGAAAAAGCUGUUGUACUUGGUGGAGUUGAACCACCUGAGAGAAGCUUGUCACGUAAAGGGAGCUCAAAUGAAGGAUCUGCAGAAGAAGAGAGAAGAACCAUCACAUUUGCAAGCAACAUUGCUCCUAGAAGAGCUAGUUCUGAAGCAUUGGACGCUGGUGGUAGACAAAGGGCUGUUAUGACUGGAAUUGCUCAUCGAUCUGCCGGUGAUGAAGAAUCAGAAGCUUUACUUGGCCAGCUUUUCCAUAAUUUUCUGUUAACUGGGAAGGUUGAUUCCUCUUUCCAAAAGCUUCAAAACUCCGGGGCAUUUGAAAGGGAUGGAGAAACAAAUGUUUUUGCCCGGACAAGUAAAUCUAUUGUUGACACUUUAGCUAAGCACUGGACAACCACCAGAGGUGCUGAAAUUGUGGCUCUGACCAUAGUAUCCAGCCAACUAAUGGAUAAGCAGCAAAAGCACGAAAGAUUUCUUCAAUUUCUAGCUUUAUCCAAGUGUCACGAGGAGCUAUGUACUGAACAGAGACAGUCUUUGCAAAUAAUCUUGGAGCACGGUGAAAAGCUUGCUGGAAUGAUUCAACUGAGAGAACUGCAAAAUGUAAUCAGCCAGAACCAUUCAAUUGCAGCUGGCCCCCCACAUUCCAGUUCAGAAGCUCAAAUUUCAGGUGCUUUUUGGGAUCUUAUUCAGUUAGUUGGUGAAAGAGCCCGCCGGAAUACUGUUCUUCUUAUGGACAGAGACAAUGCUGAAGUGUUCUACAGUAAGGUUUCUGAUCUUGAAGAAGUAUUUUAUUGCUUAGACAGACACUUAGAAUAUGUAGUAAGUGAGGAACAACCGCUAGAGGUUCAGAUCCAGAGAGCUUGUGAACUCUCAAAUGUAGUUGUCUCUGUAUUUCGCACUGCUACGCUUUACAGAAAUGAGCAUCACAUGUGGUAUCCACCGCCUGAGGGCCUGACACCUUGGUGUUGUAAAACUGUGGUGCGGAAUGGGCUGUGGAGAGUUGCAUCUUUCAUGCUUCAGCUGCUAAAUGAAACAACUGGACUAAAAAAUUCUUUAAAAUCUGAUCUGUAUAGUCAUCUGGAAGUACUGGCUGAAGUUCUUCUUGAGGCAUAUGCUGGUGCUAUUGCAGCUAAACUUGAGUGUGGAGAAGAACAUAAAGGACUACUAAAAGAGUAUUGGAAUAGGAGGGAUUCUCUUCUUGACUACCUCUAUCAAAAACUGAAAGAUUUUGUGGAAGGCGGGCACCAGGAUUUGAAUAUAGGAACCAAUGAACAAAAUGAAGAAGUCCUUAGAAAGCUUUCUUCAAGUUUGCUGUCCAUUGCAAAAAAACAUGAAGGGUACAAUACUAUGUGGAGUAUAUGUUGUGACCUUAAUGAUGCGGUGUUGCUGAGGAAUCUUAUGCAUGAGAGCAUGGGACCUAAAGGAGGUUUCAGUUAUUUUGUGUUUAAACGACUGUAUGAAAAGAGGCAAUUUUCCAAGCUUCUAAGGCUUGGGGAGGAGUUUCAAGAAGAGUUAUCUAUUUUUCUAAAGCAUCAUCAGGAUCUACUUUGGCUUCAUGAGUUGUUCCUUCAUCAGUUUUCCUCAGCUUCUGAAACUCUUCAUGUUUUGGCUGUUUCUCAAGAUGAACACUCUUGUUCA